RNAcentral lists this ribosomal RNA (200 nucleotides) under uncultured bacterium. RNAcentral describes it as "partial 16S ribosomal RNA". It matches the Rfam family "Bacterial small subunit ribosomal RNA", at positions 8 to 216 of the family's 1533-position model. The record is from RNAcentral.
AGAGUUUGAUCCUGGCUCAGAUUGAACGCUGGCGGCAUGCCUUACACAUGCAAGUCGAACGCGAAAGGGGGCAACCCUGAGUAGAGUGGCGCACGGGUGAGUAAUGCAUCGGAACGUGUCCUGUAAUGGGGGAUAACGCAGCGAAAGCUGUGCUAAUACCGCAUACGUCCUACGGGAGAAAGUGGGGGAUUCGCAAGAAC